Molecule: ribosomal RNA, 253 nt
Filed under: uncultured bacterium
Lineage: Bacteria
Description: partial 16S ribosomal RNA
Rfam family: Bacterial small subunit ribosomal RNA
Source: RNAcentral
UACGAAGGUGGCGAGCGUUGUUCGGAAUCACUGGGCUUAAAGCGUGUGUAGGCGGAUUUGUAAGUACCUUGUGAAAUCCCAUGGCUCAACCAUGGAACUGCUCGGUAUACUGCGAAUCUUGAGCCACUUAGGGGCUACCGGAACAAAUGGUGGAGCGGUGAAAUGCGUAGAUAUCAUUUGGAACGCCAAUGGUGAAACCAGGUAGCUGGGAGUGUGCUGACGCUGAGACACGAAAGCCAGGGGAGCGAACGGG